This 333-nucleotide unclassified non-coding RNA is filed under the name soil metagenome. RNAcentral's name for it is "partial contains 5.8S ribosomal RNA, internal transcribed spacer 2, and large subunit ribosomal RNA". The stretch from base 1 to 120 matches the Rfam family "5.8S ribosomal RNA", at positions 35 to 154 of the family's 154-position model. The record is from RNAcentral.
GAUGAAGAACGUAGCGAAAUGCGAUAAGUAAUGUGAAUUGCAGAAUUCAGUGAAUCAUCGAAUCUUUGAACGCACAUUGCGCCCGCCAGUAUUCUGGCGGGCAUGCCUGUUCGAGCGUCAUUUCAACCAUCAAGCCCUGCUUGCGUUGGGGUCCUGCGGCUGCCCGCAGGCCCUGAAAACCAGUGGCGGGCUCGCUAGUCACACCGAGCGCAGUAAUACAUCUCGCUUUGGCGUGCGGCGGGUUCUUGCCGUUAAACACCCCCUUUUUACCAAGGUUGACCUCGGAUCAGGUAGGAAUACCCGCUGAACUUAAGCAUAUCAAUAAGCGGAGGA